Long non-coding RNA from Ochotona curzoniae (black-lipped pika), 245 nucleotides. RefSeq lists it as uncharacterized. The record is from RefSeq and is a predicted model, not a curated record. Lineage: Eukaryota; Metazoa; Chordata; Mammalia; Lagomorpha; Ochotonidae. The transcript has 2 exons.
CGUCACCCUGGGCGAUGGGCAGUGGCUGCAGGUGUAGUCAUUCUCCCUGUCCCCCUGUGACACAGCUGUAAUCACCAUGGCUUCUUGAUAGCGCUUUCUGACGGUAGCUUGGUUGUAGAUUGUGGAGGGAAGGUCCCUCGCAGUCUUCCUAAGUUCCCGUAGUGUUUUGGCAAGGGAUUCUUUGGCAUCAUCGGGAGGUGCUGGCAUGGUUAAUGUUAUGUUAGCAGCAGUUUCUCCUGACCCUU